This is a small nucleolar RNA of Pelodiscus sinensis (Chinese soft-shelled turtle), 129 nucleotides long. Its record names the gene U8. It matches the Rfam family "U8 small nucleolar RNA". From Rfam's summary of the family: U8 is a member of the C/D class of snoRNA which contain the C (UGAUGA) and D (CUGA) box motifs. U8 is the RNA component of a small complex (the U8 snoRNP) which is required for accumulation of mature large subunit ribosomal RNAs, 5.8S and 28S rRNAs. Lineage: Eukaryota; Metazoa; Chordata; Testudines; Trionychidae. The record is from Ensembl.
UCGUCAGUAAGGUACAUCCUUACCUGUUCCCCCGCCGGGGGGCAGUCUAUGAUGAUUGGAGAGCGUAUGAGACAUGAUUAGAGUCUCCGCGGCCACGGUCUGCAACGCCGUAGCCCGCUCCUUUCUGAG